Neofelis nebulosa (Clouded leopard) is the source of this 1899-nucleotide long non-coding RNA. RefSeq lists it as uncharacterized. The transcript has 9 exons. NCBI's taxonomy places the organism in Eukaryota, Metazoa, Chordata, Mammalia, Carnivora, Felidae. The record is from RefSeq and is a predicted model, not a curated record.
CUGGUCACUGACCUAAGAUCGUCAUCUCUCCGGCCAUCACAGUCCCGCCGAAGAGGCUUGGGAUGACUGUACCAGACGUGAGGUGACGCCCCCACGCCGCCCCGCAGCCCCAAGGCCUACUGGGUAAUGUAGUUCUUUUUCUCCGACGCAGUCGGAGAAGCUACGUAUCUGACCAGAGAAGGGACUUCAUUUACCGUCAGGUCGCAGGACUGAGAACUUCCAUUCAAUAGCUGCCAGUGACGUCUAAGCCGCCCUCCUACGCCGGGGCUACGGAACCAAUGAGGCUGAGGUGGAGGAGAGCCAAGAAGAGGGACUGGAAUAUAUAAUCAAACCUGAAGCGACUGGAGCCAAGUAGAGGUGCAGUGAUCUUUUGCUCGUACUAGCUGCCUCCCUAUUCAGCGUACCCACAGGAUGCUGUGUGAAGUUCUGGAUAGAUGGAGAAAAUGUCAUGUCUAAAAGUAUAGAUUCUGGCAUCAGACUGCCCGAACUUGAAUUCUUGCUCUGCCCUUUUACUAGCAAUGUCACUGAGAGUGGGAUGCUAUAAACCCGAGCUGACACUAUCAGCAAAAGGACUCCAGCAGUUUCUAGAGAUGGAGAAAGCCUGCUGCCAGCAUCCUCAGAGUUAGGAGGGAUAAAGAACUGGGGAUUUCAGUAUGAAGAAACUACAACGUGAAGAGGGGGAAAAAGAUGGAACCCGUGAGCCAUACCUACCUCUACAACCUCUGCCAAUGCCUGCAGCUCCAGAAUCUUCACUUCCCUGGCUGGGCCCAGGGAAGUUUUGUGCUUAAUUUGGGACAACAGAACGGAGGAAAAAAGGACUUUUAGGAUCAGUGGGUCCAUUUCUGCAAAAUGGCAGAGGAACUAUUGAUACAGUUGCAUUGGAUAUGGAAAUCAUUGGGAUUCAAAUCAUAUGGCAAGCGGGUUGGAAACACCAGGCAUGCAUGUCAGGGGCUAGGGCACCAAGCUACCCUGGCACGCUGUCAGGUCAACUGCUGGACUGCUGCUUGGCAGAACUACAAAUCUCCCCGCUGGCAGCUCGUGUUCCAGGCUCCUGGCUGGGCUUCGCCUCUUGCCCUGCGUCGUUUUGGGCAGAUUCCCAGCUGAGGGAGCCAGUGACCUAAUUCUGCUCAGUUCUAAUGCAACACGGGAGUGAAUUCAGAAUAUCUCGGUACUGGCCUUGCUGGGAUUGCAGAACCCCAAAGUCAUUCUCCUGAUGCAGAGGUAAUCCUGUAAUCAGCGCUAACACCACUCACCAACCCUUCUAACAGCUUGUAGGAGAAACCCCUUUACCUCCUGUCAAGCAGUGACCUAAAACACUUUAAUCCACUUUACAUUCUCAAGGUCAGAGUGGGUACAAUGCUAUCUAUUUUGGCCUAAGAGAAAAGGAAAAUUUCUUGCUCUAAGUAUUAGGUUUCUACUGUCCCACCCUCUUGGUCCUUCUAGAUGUAUGAAAGGCUCACAUAGGGCUUGUAGUAUUCCCUUCAUCAUCUCAAAAUUUUAACUCGUCCUCGAAACAGAUGCCCCUUCUCCUCAAUUUUUAUACUGAAAAAAUGGCAAGCAAAACUUCCCAGUUCCCAACCUAAGAAGCUCUAAACUAGGAAUUUAUUGACAUUCCCCAAGUUGGCUUUAUUCAAUGAUCAAGAUAAAAUGCAUGCAUAAAAUCCUGGCCAAUUUGCAUACCUUAUUCUUACACACACACACACACACACACACACACACACACAGCUAACUAUUUUUUAACCUGUGACUGUGACAUACAUUUGUUUUUAAUAAUAUCUUAGUUUUAUAUAACCAUAUAUUCAAGGUCUUUAUCAUUCAAGGUACAUGAAGGUUGUGCAUUUAAUCUUUAGCAUGGUUGUAGAAGAUAUGAUUCACAGAGUAGAGAAUAGAUAAAAAUAA